RNAcentral lists this long non-coding RNA (319 nucleotides) under Lathyrus oleraceus (garden pea). RNAcentral's name for it is "Pisum sativum (pea) long non-coding RNA (PSAT_LNC006113)". Lineage: Eukaryota; Viridiplantae; Streptophyta; Magnoliopsida; Fabales; Fabaceae. The record is from RNAcentral.
GAAUUUCUAGUGUUUGAACUUCCAAACAGAAGAUGAAGUUCAAGCUCAAUUUCAAGAUAAAUCUUUAGAAAUUCUAUGGUAGUGGGGGUUUGAAUCAGUCUAGAAAAGCUUGGGCAAGUUGUUGAUGUUGAUUCUGAAGCCUUGAGCUUGUUUAAAUAGGCAAUGGAUUUGAUUUUUGCACCACUUGAAUUUUGGCCAAAUUUGGAAACCUUCUUGCAUGGGUGCAUGGGAAAUAGUUUAGGCCUAAGGAAUGAUGUAAUCCACUUCCAAUCCAUGUGCAAAGUGUACUGAAUUAGUCAUGUGGAAGCAUGCAAAGAAG